Molecule: ribosomal RNA, 464 nt
Filed under: uncultured bacterium
Lineage: Bacteria
Description: partial 16S ribosomal RNA
Rfam family: Bacterial small subunit ribosomal RNA
Source: RNAcentral
ACGCACGCUGGCGGCGUGCUUAACCCAUGCCAGUCGAACGGAAAGGCCCCUUUGGGGGUACUCGAGUGGCGAACGGGUGAGUAACACGUGAGUAACCUGCCCUUGACUUCGGGAUAACUUCAGGAAACUGGGGCUAAUACCGGAUAGGAAUCCUUGCUGCAUGGUGGGGGUUGGAAAGCUUCGGCGGUUUUGGGUGGACUCGCGGCUUAUCAGCUUGUUGGUGGGGUAGUGGCUUACCAAGGCUUUGACGGGUAGCCGGCCUGAGAGGGCGACCGGCCACAUUGGGACUGAGAUACGGCCCAGACUCCUACGGGAGGCAGCAGUGGGGAAUAUUGCACAAUGGGCGGAAGCCUGAUGCAGCAACGCCGCGUGCGGGAGGACGGCCUUCGGGUUGUAAACCGCUUUCAGCAGGGGCGAAGCUUGUGGUGACGGUACCUGCAGAAGAAGCACCGGCUAACUACGUG